UUGGAGGGCAAGUCUGGUGCCAGCAGCCGCGGUAAUUCCAGCUCCAAUAGCGUAUAUUAAAGUUGCUGCAGUUAAAAAGCUCGUAGUUGAAUUUCGGGACCAUCAUGUCGGUCGUGCCUCGGUACGUACUGGUAUUGUUGGUUUCUCCCUUCUGACGAACCAUGAUGUCAUUUAUUUGGUGUUGUGGGGAAUCAGGACUGUUACUUUGAAAAAAUUAGAGUGUUUAAAGCAGGCUCACGCUUGAAUACAUUAGCAUGGAGUAAUGAAAUAGGACGUUUGAUUCUAUUUUGUUGGUUUCUAGGAUCGACGUAAUGAUUAAUAGGGAUAGUUGGGGGCAUUAGUAUUCAAUUGUCAGAGGUGAAAUUCUUGGAUUUAUUGAAGACUAACUACUGCGAAAGCAUUUGCCAAGGAUGUUUUCAUUAAUCAAGAACGAAAGUUAGGGGAUCGAAGACGAUCAGAUACCGUCGUAGUCUUAACCAUAAACUAUGCCGACUAGGGAUCGGAUGAUGUUAAUUUUUUAAUGACUCAUUCGGCGCCUUACGGGAAAC
This 548-nucleotide ribosomal RNA is filed under the name uncultured Glomeromycotina. RNAcentral describes it as "SSU rRNA". It matches the Rfam family "Eukaryotic small subunit ribosomal RNA", at positions 548 to 1098 of the family's 1831-position model. The record is from RNAcentral. Lineage: Eukaryota; Fungi; Glomeromycota.